Molecule: non-coding RNA, 72 nt
Organism: Phrynosoma platyrhinos (Desert horned lizard)
Lineage: Eukaryota; Metazoa; Chordata; Lepidosauria; Squamata; Phrynosomatidae
Source: the annotation of a GenBank genome assembly
GCCAGUGUGGCAUAAUGGUUUGAAUGUUGGAUUAUGACUCUGGAGAUCAGUGUUCUAUUCCCUGCUCAGCCA